This is a long non-coding RNA of Mesocricetus auratus (golden hamster), 3387 nucleotides long. RefSeq lists it as uncharacterized. NCBI's taxonomy places the organism in Eukaryota, Metazoa, Chordata, Mammalia, Rodentia, Cricetidae. The transcript has 7 exons. The record is from RefSeq and is a predicted model, not a curated record.
GGCUCACUGGGGACGGGUACUGGCGGCUUGUGAGGAGACUGGAGGAUGGCACCUGCGAGAGGGGACAGGCAGACCCGAGGGCUCUGCCGGAGGCAUGAGAAGUGGUGCCUCAGACAUUAGAUGCAGGAAAGCCAGCCUGAAAUCCCAGCACUGAGGAAGCAGAGUCAGGAGCAUUGCAAGCUCCAGGCCCCUUGGCUGCAUAGUGAGACUGUGCACCUACAGAAAAUGAAUACAUAGAAUGAUACGAUACGCCAGUUUUACUUCUGGGUUCAUAUCCAAAAGUGAAGAGUUAGGGAGGCAUGGAUCACGAAAGGGGAAAUGGCUCCCUGACUUGGCAGGUUUUUGUUUUCAGAGGAAAUUUAGAGGCUGUUUGGGGGCGGGGCUUUUCUCAACAGGACCAAUAGGGAAAAGGAGAGGCCCCUGACUUCUUUGAAAUAUCCAAGCAAUUGUGUUUCUAGCAGACUCGUCUUAGACUUCUCCCAUCCCCGGCUGAAGCUGUUAGCUCCCUUUUCUCUGCAGCUUUCAUCUGUCUUUCCCGGAUGUUCUGUUCUUUGUUUAUGUCAGGGAACAAACCCAGCAAUCCUCCAAGUGGCUGCCUGUACCCCUGUAAUAGUUUUUGGGAUCUCUGCUCCAUGAUUUGAGAAGCCUUCUACUCAAGGUUGUAUACCUAAAUACAAAUGCAUAGGACUCAGAUGUGACCAUGACCCUUCUGGCCCUGAGGGUCCUUUCCUAGCGAGGGAAUCCCUUCUACCAUGGUUAGCAUAGUGGGGGUCCUCAGCUAGCCCCCCAUCGCAGAGGAGGCUAUGCUGUCACCUCUGCGCCGAGGGAGAGGGCAAAUGGAGUCCUAAGGAACAGACCAUCUCCCAGGGCGGAAGGGUGGGAGGGCAGACUCCCCAUGAGGUACACCUGGGAGGGUCCACAGGCAAGGGCACACCUGGGAGGGUCCACGGGCAUGAGGCACACCUGGGAGGGUCCACGGGCAUGAGGCACACCUGGGAGGGUCCACGGGCAAGGGCACUCUUCUCCUUUGUUGCUUCUUCACCCCACACAACAGCUAAGAGUGGGCACCUGGGAGUAGACGGUCUGUGGGGAAUGAAGGCCUGCUCAGUUUUCUGUUCCUUGUUGUAAAGUGAUGCUGGGUGGUGGCGGUAGCUCACACCCUUAAUGCCAGCACUUGGGAGGCAGGGCAGGCAGAAGUUUGAAGCCAUCCUCAGAGUGGGUUCCAGGACAGACUUCAAAGCUACGGAGAAACCCUGUCUAAAAAGAAGUGUUAACCAACCGGCUUGCUCUGAGGAGUGCCUGAACUACAAAUGGAGGCUGUGCCUGAGCUAGGAGGGAAAGUUCUGUCCUGUGGAAGAAAGCCUGCUUGGGCACAGGCGUCUCAGAGGGACUUCGGUUGUUUGUCUGGAGCUAUCAUGACUCCUGGAGGCUCAUCCUCACUCCUCCUUGAAGCUCUCAGGAGAGGUGCUGCUUAUUGUGAUCUUGAACCCUUGGCCUCACGUUAGUGUGGUAAGAUGUAAUGUGGAAAGCAGGAUAUGAAAAGCCAGUUCCUGUUGAAAGCUGGGCAGAAUAGCACUGGCCUGAAUGGAUGGGUCUGAAACUUUCCUGGCUGUGUCUAAGAGAACCCCUGAGCUGAAUGUAACCUGUGUCGGCUGGGUGACACUAAUCCCCAGGCCAAUUUAUGAAUUCUCUAAAAGCCUUCAGCCUGAUUGUCUUUGAACCAGAUAAGUAUGUGAUGGGCACCAGAAUCAAACCUGUGAGGAAGGACCCACCUGCCUGUCGGCUGUGGUUGAUAAUGCUGGCAGGCCUGGAGUUUCAGAGGGAAGCAAAGACUCUCCUAGGUGCUGUUUACGUGACUUGCUAUUUCUGAUUGUGAUUGUGCCUGCUUCUUCGCACUGGGAAUUAGAAGGCAUGUAAUUCUGUUUCCUGGGAUUUCUGUGCCAAGGAAUGAGGUCAGCCAUGGCCCACUAGCAUCCCCUUUACAAAAGCAUUGAAAGGAGGGGGGUAUGGACACAUUCUCGGAGUCCUGUGUUCCCAGAAGCUUAUUCCCAAUAGCUGAAAGAAAGAAGCGAGUUAAAUGCCCAUGGAGAGAUGACUGGGCCAGCAUCUCAUAGUAGAUCCAUCACGUGGAAUAUCACUCAGCUGAUGUCCAAGAUCUGAAAUGAGACAUGCCACAACAUGGAAGGGCCUUGAAGACACUAUCCGAAGUGAGACCAGCAAACAGAAUGGUCAUAUAUUAUGUGUUCCACUUAAAUUAGAGACUACCAGGUCACCUGAUGUCUGAGACGAUUCUGGAUAUUGAUAGACAUUGUAGAUUCCCCCUCUACUCACCACCACAAAAAGCACAGUCCUGAGUGGUCUGAACUGAACAUGAAUCCACAGAGACCAACCCAUAGACAUCAUCAGUGCUACAAACACGUUUUGACUCAUGCUGGGCUGAAGCCCAAAAGGUUCAACCAUGGAAAGGGGAACAGCUGCCAGUGACAAUUCAUCUCACAAUGGGAUCACAGAGCAGGGACCACCAGGACUCAUUUCUUUCAGACAUACUGUCCCCUUGCCUGGCCUCUCCGCUCUUUUUACCCAGGGUUUUAAACUGGACCAGGCUUUGGUAUCAAGUGUGUGUGUGUACACAAAGCCUGAGGUUGGCAUUGGAUGUCUUCCGCUAUCACCUUCCACCUCUUUUCUGAGACUCACUGGCCAGAAGCUUAUCAAUUUAGCAAGACUAUGAAGCCUGCAAGCCCGGGACCUGCCCAUCUCUGCCUUCCCAGCGCUAGGUUUACAGGGGCAGUGCUGUGUGUGGCAGCGAGGUCAGCAAGGGGUCGUUCAUCGGGCCAGAAGGACAGGUGACCCUAGAGCCCCUAGGUCACCUCAGUGUUACCAGUCAGCACCUCUCAUGACUCCCUAGAACACUCAAAGGGGCUCCAGCCAGGAAGGAGGAUGUCCCAAGGCUGGGGAACCUGUCCUCCCAGGGAUGGGCUCACUGACAGCCAGAAAAUGUUCAGUGCGUACCAGUCCUUCCCUCCUGGGACCAGGCGACAGGAGUUAAGUAUGCUUCCAACCUGACCUGGUGUACAGCCAGGGACACUCAAAGAGCCCCAUGGAAUACUAUGUGAUACCAGGGUGCUUUCCUUCCCUGGCACCCCUUCCAGGCUGCCACUAGAGGCUCUGAAGAUGACCCCAGGCAGGACGGGCACAGGAAGCACAGAGCUGACUGACAAGUCCGAUCUAGAGCUAGGAGGGUCCCAGUGCUGGCUUAUUCAUUCGCAUCGAUUUUAACUUUCUCUCUCCUUCAGGCUCACAGACAGAUAAUGAAGACAAAUCCACAGAUCAAUGGAAAUGGGGUUGCGGGUGUGGAAACCCUGUUGUCCCUGGCCUAGAAUGAGGAGC